This 807-nucleotide long non-coding RNA is filed under the name Homo sapiens (human). RNAcentral describes it as "HSALNT0377091". Lineage: Eukaryota; Metazoa; Chordata; Mammalia; Primates; Hominidae. The record is from RNAcentral.
CAAAGGUGCGGCAGCUGGAGGCUUGUGCUCCUGGAGGGAAAUCUGAGCAGGGCUCUCUUCCACAGCUGCCAUACCUCCUUUACCUGGAACCUGGAGAUGCUCCUUGCAAUGAAUGAUCCAGAGCAGCUUAUAGUCAAAGGGAAGGCUGACUCUGGAACUCAAGCCUUCUCACUCAAAGGCCAGUAGUCUUUGUUUCUGGUGAGGGCCAGAUGAAUGAAGCAUAAAUAGUUUGUCCUGUUUUAUCAGUAGCUGUCACAAGGCAUCAUUUCUUUGGCAGCAGAUCUUAGCACAGUUUAUAUGUUUAAUAUUUAACAUAUAUCAGUAACCUAUGACUCAAGCUGAUCACAGACUCAAAUAUAAUGUACCUUGUGGAUGAGCAAGAAGUAAAAAUAGUGUAAGCAUUUCAUCUUGGCCGGGAAAUAGAUAUGAAUGUUCAUGGAAGAAUGAACAAAGGAAGAGGCUUGCAGGUUGGGUCAAUUAAUUCUCUCUCUGGAAUUUUGAACUGAGAUUCACAGAGAAGCUGUUGUGAAGGAGCCAUGGAUAGCUGGAGGGUCUUCCUAGUUAAAGCCUGGACUGAAAACAAGUAAGAAGCACUUUUUGGGUUCGUUCAGUUUUGAGGUAACAAUAAACUCAUCUUCAGACUGCCUGUGACCUUUUCAUAAUGACACCAGAAAUAUGAAUAGGACAUAUUUUAAAACUAGCUUAUCUAGAAAACCUCUUGCCCAUUCCCAUUCCCAUUUCCUAACACAACUUUUUUUCCAGAUCUUGCACAAACAGGAAAUCAGAGUAAAGCCAUCAUUAGAGACA